RNAcentral lists this ribosomal RNA (429 nucleotides) under Acidobacteriota bacterium. RNAcentral's name for it is "Acidobacteria bacterium partial 16S ribosomal RNA". It matches the Rfam family "Bacterial small subunit ribosomal RNA", at positions 355 to 776 of the family's 1533-position model. The record is from RNAcentral. Lineage: Bacteria; Pseudomonadati; Acidobacteriota.
UAGGGAAUCUUCCGCAAUGGGCGAAAGCCUGACGGAGCAACGCCGCGUGAGUGAUGAAGGUCUUCGGAUCGUAAAACUCUGUUAUUAGGGAAGAACAAAUGUGUAAGUAACUAUGCACGUCUUGACGGUACCUAAUCAGACAGCCACGGCUAACUACGUGCCAGCAGCCGCGGUAAUACGUAGGUGGCAAGCGUUAUCCGGAAUUAUUGGGCGUAAAGCGCGCGUAGGCGGUUUUUUAAGUCUGAUGUGAAAGCCCACGGCUCAACCGUGGAGGGUCAUUGGAAACUGGAAAACUUGAGUGCAGAAGAGGAAAGUGGAAUUCCAUGUGUAGCGGUGAAAUGCGCAGAGAUAUGGAGGAACACCAGUGGCGAAGGCGACUUUCUGGUCUGUAACUGACGCUGAUGUGCGAAAGCGUGGGGAUCAAACAGG